RNAcentral lists this ribosomal RNA (253 nucleotides) under uncultured bacterium. Its description in RNAcentral is "partial 16S ribosomal RNA". It matches the Rfam family "Bacterial small subunit ribosomal RNA", at positions 524 to 776 of the family's 1533-position model. The record is from RNAcentral.
UACGUAGGCAGCGAGCGUUGUUCGGAGUUACUGGGCGUAAAGAGUAUGUAGGCGGUUGCGGAAGUUUGGUGUGAAAUCUCCCGGCUUAACUGGGAGGGUGCGCCGAAAACUGCGUGGCUAGAGUGUGGGAGAGGAAAGCGGAAUUCCUGGUGUAGCGGUGAAAUGCGUAGAUAUCAGGAGGAACACCGGCGGUGUAGACGGCUUUCUGGACCAUUACUGACGCUGAGAUACGAAAGCGUGGGUAGCAAACAGG